RNAcentral lists this transfer RNA (68 nucleotides) under Desmomys harringtoni (Harrington's rat). RNAcentral describes it as "tRNA-Arg". Lineage: Eukaryota; Metazoa; Chordata; Mammalia; Rodentia; Muridae. The record is from RNAcentral.
UGGUAAUUAGUUUAACUAAAAUUAAUGAUUUCGACUCAUUAGAUUAUGACCCCACUCAUAAUUACCAA